RNAcentral lists this ribosomal RNA (731 nucleotides) under uncultured Staphylococcus sp. Its description in RNAcentral is "bacterial SSU rRNA". It matches the Rfam family "Bacterial small subunit ribosomal RNA", at positions 64 to 777 of the family's 1533-position model. Lineage: Bacteria; Bacillati; Bacillota; Bacilli; Caryophanales; Staphylococcaceae. The record is from RNAcentral.
GAGCGAACGGACGAGAAGCUUGCUUCUCUGAUGUUAGCGGCGGACGGGUGAGUAACACGUGGAUAACCUACCUAUAAGACUGGGAUAACUUCGGGAAACCGGAGCUAAUACCGGAUAAUAUUUUGAACCGCAUGGUUCAAAAGUGAAAGACGGUCUUGCUGUCACUUAUAGAUGGAUCCGCGCUGCAUUAGCUAGUUGGUAAGGUAACGGCUUACCAAGGCAACGAUGCAUAGCCGACCUGAGAGGGUGAUCGGCCACACUGGAACUGAGACACGGUCCAGACUCCUACGGGAGGCAGCAGUAGGGAAUCUUCCGCAAUGGGCGAAAGCCUGACGGAGCAACGCCGCGUGAGUGAUGAAGGUCUUCGGAUCGUAAAACUCUGUUAUUAGGGAAGAACAUAUGUGUAAGUAACUGUGCACAUCUUGACGGUACCUAAUCAGAAAGCCACGGCUAACUACGUGCCAGCAGCCGCGGUAAUACGUAGGUGGCAAGCGUUAUCCGGAAUUAUUGGGCGUAAAGCGCGCGUAGGCGGUUUUUUAAGUCUGAUGUGAAAGCCCACGGCUCAACCGUGGAGGGUCAUUGGAAACUGGAAAACUUGAGUGCAGAAGAGGAAAGUGGAAUUCCAUGUGUAGCGGUGAAAUGCGCAGAGAUAUGGAGGAACACCAGUGGCGAAGGCGACUUUCUGGUCUGUAACUGACGCUGAUGUGCGAAAGCGUGGGGAUCAAACAGGA